RNAcentral lists this ribosomal RNA (2021 nucleotides) under metagenome. RNAcentral's name for it is "bacterial LSU rRNA". It matches the Rfam family "Bacterial large subunit ribosomal RNA", at positions 1 to 1997 of the family's 2925-position model. The record is from RNAcentral.
UAAAGCUACGAAGGGUAUACGGCGGAUGCCUUGGCGCUAACGAGCGAUGAAGGACGUGGNAGACUGCGAAANNCUUCGGNGAGCNGUCUAGCANGCUUUGANCCGGAGNUGUCCGAAUGGGGCAACCCAGCACAGGGAAACUUGUGUUACUGGCAACUGAAUUCAUAGGUUGUCAGAGCGAACCUGGGGAAGUGAAACAUCUCAGUACCCAGAGGAANAGAAAUCAAUUGAGAUUCCCCUAGUAGCGGCGAGCGAACGGGGACCAGUCCAAACCAGAGGAGCUUGCUCUUCUGGGGUUGUGGGCGGCCGACAUAGACCAUGGAGGUUAAUCGAAGGUUCUGGAAUGGACCAGCAUAGAGGGUGAUACUCCCGUAGAUGAAAAUUAAAAUGGCUUAGGCCUGUCCCAGAGUACCACAGGGCACGUGAAACCCGGUGGGAAGCAGGGUGGACCAUCAUCCAAGACUAAAUAUCUAUUGACGACCGAUAGCGUAUAGUACCGUGAGGGAAAGGUGAAAAGUACUCCGGUGAGGAGAGUGAAAGAGUACCUGAAACCGUAUGUUUACAACCGGUGGAAGAGCUAUGCACAUUUGUGAAUGCUCGACCGCGUACCUUUUGCAUCAUGGGUUGGCGAGUCAACGUUUGCAGCGAGGUUAAGCCGUCAGGUGUAGCCGAAGCGAAAGCGAGUCUGAAUAGGGCGCAUAGUUGCAGGCGUUGGACCCGAAGCCGGUCGAUCUACGCAUGGGCAGGUUGAAGCGAGGGUAAUGCCUCGUGGAGGACCGAACCCGUUAGAGUUGAAAAUCUUUGGGAUGACUUGUGCGUAGGGGUGAAAGGCCAAUCAAGGCCGGUGAUAGCUGGUUCUCCCCGAAAGAUAUUUAGGUAUCGCCUCGGAUGUUUACUAGCGGAGGUAGAGCACUGAAAAGGCUAGGGCGCCCACAAGCGUACCGACCCUUAUCAAACUCCGAAUGCCGCUAAGUAUAGUCCGGGAGACAGGCUAUGGGUGAUAAGGUCCAUAGCCAAGAGGGAAACAGCCCAGACCAUCAGCUAAGGUCCCUAAAUCUCGACUAAGUGGAAAAGGAUGUGGAAGCGCUUAGACAACCAGGAGGUUGGCUUAGAAGCAGCAAUCCUUUAAAGAAAGCGUAAUAGCUCACUGGUCAAGUGAAUCUGCGCCGAAAAUGUAACGGGGCUUAAGUCGAGUACCGAAGCUAUGGGUCCAUAAUAUGGGCGGUAGGGGAGCACUGUAGCGUCAGUGAAGCGUCACCGAAAGGAGGCGUGGAGAUUCUACAGGCGAUUAUGCCAACAUGAGUAGCGAGAAAACAGGUGAGAAUCCUGUUCGCCGAAAACCCAAGGUUUCCUGGGUCAAGACCAUCUUCCCAGGGUUAGUCGGGACCUAAGACGAGGCCGAGAGGCGUAGUCGAUGGAAAACAGGUUAAUAUUCCUGUACCACCUGAANGUCGUUGAAAUGAGGAGCGACGGAGAAGGGUAUAGUGCCAGCCAGGUUUUGGAUGUCCUGGUCGAAGCACGUAGACGGGAGUUCUAGGAUAAAAACGGAACUCUAACGUUGAGGUGUGAUGGGGCAACACGUCUUCGGACACGUUGUUACUGGCUGAUCCCAUGCUUCCAAGAAAAACUUCGCAUGGAGACUGAUGGUGCCCGUACCCCAAACCGACACAGGUGGGUGGGGUGAGUAUCCUAAGGCGCUUGAGAGAAUCGUGGUUAAGGAACUCUGCAAAUUGAUGCCGUAACUUCGGGAUAAGGCAUGCCCUUUAUGGUGAUAGGACUUGCUCCUUGAGCCUAAGAGGGCCGCAGUGAAAUGGGGCUAGCGACUGUUUACCAAAAACACAGGUCUCUGCUAACUCGAAAGAGGAUGUAUAGGGGCUGACGCCUGCCCGGUGCCGGAAGGUUAAGAGGAGCUGUAAGAGCAAUCGAAGCAGUGAAUUGAAGCCCCGGUAAACGGCGGCCGUAACAAUAACGGUCCUAAGGUAGCGAAAUUCCUUGGCGGGUAAGUUCCGUCCUGCACGAAU